CCUACGGGAGGCAGCAGUGGGGAAUAUUGGACAAUGGGGGGAACCCUGAUCCAGCCAUGCCGCGUGUGUGAAGAAGGCCCUCGGGUUGUAAAGCACUUUCAGUGAGGAAGAACGCCUGGUGGUUAAUACCCAUCAGGAAAGACAUCACUCACAGAAGAAGCACCGGCUAACUCCGUGCCAGCAGCCGCGGUAAUACGGAGGGUGCGAGCGUUAAUCGGAAUUACUGGGCGUAAAGCGCGCGUAGGUGGCUUGAUAAGCCGGUUGUGAAAGCCCCGGGCUCAACCUGGGAACGGCAUCCGGAACUGUCAAGCUAGAGUGCAGGAGAGGAAGGUAGAAUUCCCGGUGUAGCGGUGAAAUGCGUAGAGAUCGGGAGGAAUACCAGUGGCGAAGGCGGCCUCCUGGACUGACACUGACACUGAGGUGCGAAAGCGUGGGUAGCAAACAGGAUUAGAUACCCUAGUAGUC
Molecule: ribosomal RNA, 465 nt
Filed under: Vreelandella stevensii
Lineage: Bacteria; Pseudomonadati; Pseudomonadota; Gammaproteobacteria; Oceanospirillales; Halomonadaceae
Description: partial 16S ribosomal RNA
Rfam family: Bacterial small subunit ribosomal RNA
Source: RNAcentral